RNAcentral lists this ribosomal RNA (606 nucleotides) under Listeria monocytogenes. Its description in RNAcentral is "partial 23S ribosomal RNA". It matches the Rfam family "Bacterial large subunit ribosomal RNA", at positions 408 to 1014 of the family's 2925-position model. The record is from RNAcentral. Lineage: Bacteria; Bacillati; Bacillota; Bacilli; Caryophanales; Listeriaceae.
CUGAGUACGGCGGAACACGUGAAAUUCCGUCGGAAUCCGGGAGGACCAUCUCCCAAGGCUAAAUACUCCCUAGUGACCGAUAGUGAACCAGUACCGUGAGGGAAAGGUGAAAAGCACCCCGGAAGGGGAGUGAAACAGUUCCUGAAACCGUGUGCCUACAAGUAGUUAGAGCCCGUUAAUGGGUGAUAGCGUGCCUUUUGUAGAAUGAACCGGCGAGUUACGAUUUGUUGCAAGGUUAAGCGGAAAAAGCGGAGCCGUAGCGAAAGCGAGUCUGAAUAGGGCGCAUAAGUAACAGGUCGUAGACCCGAAACCAGGUGAUCUACCCAUGUCCAGGAUGAAGGUAAGGUAAUACUUACUGGAGGUCCGAACCCACGCACGUUGAAAAGUGCGGGGAUGAGGUGUGGGUAGCGGAGAAAUUCCAAUCGAACUUGGAGAUAGCUGGUUCUCUCCGAAAUAGCUUUAGGGCUAGCCUCGAGGUAAAGAGUCAUGGAGGUAGAGCACUGUUUGGACUAGGGGCCCUUCUCGGGUUACCGAAUUCAGAUAAACUCCGAAUGCCAUGUACUUAUACUCGGGAGUCAGACUGCGAGUGAUAAGAUCCGUAGUCGA